This is a non-coding RNA of Peromyscus maniculatus bairdii (prairie deer mouse), 1583 nucleotides long. The record is from RefSeq and is a predicted model, not a curated record. NCBI's taxonomy places the organism in Eukaryota, Metazoa, Chordata, Mammalia, Rodentia, Cricetidae.
UCCUACCAUGACAUCUUAUUAGGCAUCUCAGAACUGCCCCCUUGUCAUGCCAUUAGGACUGAGCUUAGUCAUGGCAUUCAUGAAACAAUGUCUCAUUAAAGAUUUCAAAUGAGAUGGGAGUGUAAUUCAGCAGUAUAGCACUCAUCUGAUAGAUGUGAAGCCAUGGGCUCCAUCUUCAUUACUGCAAAAAUAAAACAAAAUAGCUUAAAUACAGAAACCUACAAAAUAUUGUGACUAUCUAGAGAAGUGAUUUGGAUGAAGAAGCUGUCAGAACACUUUCUGGUGACCAGUGUGACUUCAAAUGGCUUAAGGAAAGAGAAGGGAGGGGCAGAGAGACGCAAAGAGGCUAAGAAAGCUGAGCAGGUUGAGGACAGGUCUUCAGGAAUGGUUUGACUCAGCACUUUAGUGCCAGUUUAUCCAGGGUGCAUAUUUUUCUUUCUGCUUCUCUCCAGUCCUCCCGUCCUUGCUGAUGACUCUACCUUCAAGUGUACCCCUUUAUUGCUUGUUUCCAAGAUAACUACCUUACUACUAUACUUUCUAUCAGCUUGACUAGUUUUAGAGUCACCCAGAAGACAACAACCUUCAACAUCUGUGACAGUGUUUCCGGAGAGGUUUAACGGAGAAGAGAAAACCAACUUCAACUUGUGGGUGGCGUCAUCUCUUGAGCUGAGGCCCCAGGCUGAAUUAGAUAGGGGAAGGAAGAAAGCAAGUGAAGCCCCAGCGCCUAGCACUCUCCACUUCCUGCCACUUCCUGCCACUUCGUGCCUUUAUUCCUUCUAUACCAUGGUAACCCACAGAGGUGUCUCCUAGAUGGAUUCUAGAACUAGCUAAGCUGAUCAUGAAGAUUAGCAGUCACAUUCAUGAGAAGACUUUACAAUACACUCUGAUGCCUCUCGAGUGGAAACCCAAGAGUCCUUUCUCUCCCCAGUGACUCCCUCACUCUGUGUCUACUCCACAGCUCCACCUUGACCUUCCUGGAGCAGAGUCCUUACUUUCAGAGGUAAUUAUGGCUACAGUGACAUAAUGGCUUCGAUUUGUCCCCAUAAAAUCCUGCGAGUUUGGAGAGUCAGGAAAUGGGUGUGCACCUCCAUGCAGAGCAAACAAGACUGGCUUUGAACUGGUGACUGCUGAAGGUGAGCUGUGGGUCUGGAUCGCGUGACACUAAAUCUCCUCUGCCUCUGAGUACGUUUCAGUUUUUCCAAACCAUUUUCCGAAAUGCUUGGCACAGAAGACUCACACCGUAGAGUUGUUCCAGAACCUUCCAAAGCCCCCAGUCUCCUCUAACCCCCACUGAGGAGCUGUCCUCAGGAUCCACAGGGGCUGGGCUCUCAGACUCGGGCCAGUGGAGUGCCGCACACUUUCAGCCCCCACACUUGGCAUUUGGACAGAAUCUCUUCCUGCCCCCAGAUGGCAUCCCAGCUUCCUUGGGCUGAGCCUGUCAGCAGGUUUUUCCAGGCGCCUGAUUCCUGGAUGUAGCUGCAAUAAAACCAACCAGGAUGGUCUGUCGGGUCCCCUCUGGAAUGGGCAUGUCCCAUUUCUGAUGUCUUCAGCCUUCCCAGUGAGCUAUCUCCAAGGUUUCUGGA